GUUUUAAUUUAAAACCAACCCUUUACCAAAGAGGGGCAGAUUUUCUUCCAUUUGAGGAGCAGCCGGCCUGGAUGUUUUUCUGGCUGGUUUUCUUUUACUUUUCUUUUCUUUUUCUUUCUUCCUUUUCACCUAGUUUUUCUUGCACAAUUUGGGGAUGAUUGAAACGUGGAGAUGGUGCAAUAGCUUGGAAAAGGAAACCCAUUGAUAUUGAAGAAUUAUCAACUAUUUCUCUCUUUAUCAAUAAAUUUUUCUUCUCACAUUUUCCAUCAAUAUUUUGUAAGAAAUUAUUAGUUGUUUGUGAAUAUCUCAUGGGUAACUAAAUAUAUUUGUGAUUGGGGG
Molecule: long non-coding RNA, 339 nt
Filed under: Olea europaea subsp. europaea
Lineage: Eukaryota; Viridiplantae; Streptophyta; Magnoliopsida; Lamiales; Oleaceae
Source: RNAcentral